GGGGCCUACGGGAGGCAGCAGUGGGGAAUAUUGGGCAAUGGAGGAAACUCUGACCCAGCGACGCCGCGUGCGGGAUGAAGGCCUUCGGGUUGUAAACCGCUUUCAGCAGGGAAGAAGCGAAAGUGACGGUACCUGCAGAAGAAGCACCGGCUAACUCCGUGCCAGCAGCCGCGGUAAUACGGAGGAUGCAAGCGUUAUCCGGAUUUAUUGGGUUUAAAGGGUCCGUAGGCGGAUCUUUAAGUCAGUGGUGAAAGCCCACAGCUCAACUGUGGAACUGCCAUUGAUGCUGGAGAUCUUGAGUGUAGUAGAAGUAGGCGGAAUAGGGCAUGUAGCGGUGAAAUGCAUAGAUAUGCCCUAGAACACCGAUUGUGAAGGCAGCUUACUAUGUUACAACUGACGCUGAGGGACGAAAGCGUGGGGAGCAAACAGGAUUAGAUACCCUGGUAGUCCACGCUGUAAACGAUGAUUACUCGCUGUUGGCGACAUACAGUCAGCGGCCAAGCGAAAGCAUUAAGUAAUCCACCUGGGGAGUACGCCGGCAACGGUGAAACUCAAAGGAAUUGACGGGG
This 569-nucleotide ribosomal RNA is filed under the name uncultured Bacteroidota bacterium. RNAcentral describes it as "bacterial SSU rRNA". It matches the Rfam family "Bacterial small subunit ribosomal RNA", at positions 334 to 918 of the family's 1533-position model. Lineage: Bacteria; Pseudomonadati; Bacteroidota. The record is from RNAcentral.